AUUGAACGCUGGCGGCAGGCUUAACACAUGCAAGUCGAGCGGGGGAAGGUAGCUUGCUACCGGACCUAGCGGCGGACGGGUGAGUAAUGCUUAGGAAUCUGCCUAUUAGUGGGGGACAACAUCUCGAAAGGGAUGCUAAUACCGCAUACGUCCUACGGGAGAAAGCAGGGGAUCUUCGGACCUUGCGCUAAUAGAUGAGCCUAAGUCGGAUUAGCUAGUUGGUGGGGUAAAGGCCUACCAAGGCGACGAUCUGUAGCGGGUCCGAGAGGAUGAUCCGCCACACUGGGACUGAGACACGGCCCAGACUCCUACGGGAGGCAGCAGUGGGGAAUAUUGGACAAUGGGGGGAACCCUGAUCCAGCCAUGCCGCGUGUGUGAAGAAGGCCUUAUGGUUGUAAGGCACUUUAAGCGAGGAGGAGGCUACUCUAGUUAAUACCUAGGGAUAGUGGACGUUACUCGCAGAAUAAGCACCGGCUAACUCUGUGCCAGCCGCCGCCGCAG
This 501-nucleotide ribosomal RNA is filed under the name uncultured bacterium. RNAcentral's name for it is "partial 16S ribosomal RNA". It matches the Rfam family "Bacterial small subunit ribosomal RNA", at positions 30 to 523 of the family's 1533-position model. The record is from RNAcentral.